CCUGGCCUCAGUGUGGAUCUCCACGGUUGGUUCUUCCUCCGCUCCUCCCGGGCUGCGGUCAGCGUUCCCUUCUCCAUCGGAAUGAUUCUACGCCAGAGGAGCGACUUUCCUCCUCCUGCAUCAUCCACCUCUCUCUGCUCCUCCACCCUAUCCUCCUGUUCCUCACCGGCUGCUGUUUCCUCUGCAGGCUCGGAUUUAGGUUCAUCACAGGAGUCGAUUUAAAAGGCAUUUAAAGCAGAUGUGCCGAGCCCGACUUCAGCCUCCUUCUCUCUGGUCUGAAUUCUGCAAAUCAGUGAAGUGGGUCUUCAGGAACAGCGAUGGCAUCCUGCACGUCUCGAACUGACACCAUACAAUUGUAGAAUGCAUUCUCUGCUGAAGACGGUG
Long non-coding RNA from Ictalurus punctatus (channel catfish), 384 nucleotides. Lineage: Eukaryota; Metazoa; Chordata; Actinopteri; Siluriformes; Ictaluridae. The record is from Ensembl.